AUUGAACGCUGGCGGCAGGCCUAACCCAUGCAAGUCGAGCGAGCGGCGGACGGGUGAGUAAUGUAUGGGGACUGCCCGAUCGAGGGGGAUAACUACUGGAAACGGUAGCUAAUACCGCAUACUAUCGGAUAACCCAUAUGGGAUUAGCUAGUAGGUGAGGUAAUGGCUCACCUAGGCGACGAUCCCUAGCUGGUCUGAGAGGAUGAUCAGCCACACGGGGACGGGGACACGGCCCAACCUCCUACGGAGGCAGCAGUGGGGAAUAAUGAACAAUGGGGGCAAGCCUGAUGCAGCCAUGCCGCGUGUAUGAAGAAGGCCCUAGGGUUGUAAAGUACUUUCAGUCGGGAGGCGUUACCGACAGAAUAAGCACCGGCUAACUCCGUGCCAGCCGCCGCGGUAAUAC
This 403-nucleotide ribosomal RNA is filed under the name uncultured bacterium. RNAcentral's name for it is "partial 16S ribosomal RNA". It matches the Rfam family "Bacterial small subunit ribosomal RNA", at positions 30 to 526 of the family's 1533-position model. The record is from RNAcentral.